RNAcentral lists this transfer RNA (77 nucleotides) under Sulfitobacter sp. R18_1. RNAcentral describes it as "tRNA-Arg". It matches the Rfam family "tRNA". Rfam says of the family: Transfer RNA (tRNA) molecules are approximately 80 nucleotides in length. Their secondary structure includes four short double-helical elements and three loops (D, anti-codon, and T loops). The record is from RNAcentral. Lineage: Bacteria; Pseudomonadati; Pseudomonadota; Alphaproteobacteria; Rhodobacterales; Roseobacteraceae.
GCAUCGUUAGCUCAGCUGGACAGAGCUCCCGGUUUCGGCCCGGGUGGUCGUGGGUUCGAAUCCUACACGGUGCUCCA